This 104-nucleotide transfer RNA is filed under the name Rosellinia necatrix. It matches the Rfam family "tRNA". Rfam says of the family: Transfer RNA (tRNA) molecules are approximately 80 nucleotides in length. The record is from Rfam by way of RNAcentral. Lineage: Eukaryota; Fungi; Ascomycota; Sordariomycetes; Xylariales; Xylariaceae.
GUCCGAGUGACGAAGUGGUUAUCGUGCCGUUCUUAUACUUAUUUGGCGACAAAUUAGUAUGAUAAGAUAUGCGGAAGUCGUGAGUUCGAUCCUCACCUUGGACA